GACGAACGCUGGCGGCGCGCCUAACACAUGCAAGUCGAACGGUUAAAGCACCUUCGGGUGUGUAUAAAGUGGCGAACGGCUGAGUAACACGUGGGCAACCUGCCCCUCGCACCGGGAUAGCCUCGGGAAACCGUGGUUAAUACCGGAUACUCCGGGACCCCCGCAUGGGGGGUGCCGGGAAAGCCCUGACGGCGAGGGAUGGGCCCGCGGCCUGUUAGCUUGUUGGCGGGGUAACGGCCCACCAAGGCGAUUAUGGGUAGCCGGACUGAGAGGUUGAACGGCCACAUUGGGACUGAGACACGGCCCAG
RNAcentral lists this ribosomal RNA (308 nucleotides) under uncultured bacterium. RNAcentral describes it as "bacterial SSU rRNA". It matches the Rfam family "Bacterial small subunit ribosomal RNA", at positions 28 to 334 of the family's 1533-position model. The record is from RNAcentral.